This is a non-coding RNA of Paramuricea clavata, 100 nucleotides long. The record is from the annotation of a GenBank genome assembly. Lineage: Eukaryota; Metazoa; Cnidaria; Anthozoa; Malacalcyonacea; Plexauridae.
ACCAUCGUCUCGAUAAAGGCCGACGCGGUCUUUGCCAUAUUUCUUUGCCAAGGAAAAGAAAUAUGGCAAAGACCGCGUCGGCCUUUAUCGAGACGAUGGU